CAGCAGCCCGAGUGGUGGUCAUUUUUAUUGGGCCUAAAGCGUCCGUAGCCGGUCUAGUAAAUCCUUGGAUAAAUCGUACAGCUUAACUGUACGGCUCCCGGGGAGACUGCUAGACUUGGGACUGGGAGAGGUCGGAGGUACUCCAGGGGUAGGGGUGAAAUCUUGUAAUCCUUGGGGGACCACCAGUGGCGAAGGCGUCCGACUAGAACGGGUCCGACGGUAAGGGACGAAGCCCUGGGGCGCGAACCGGAUUAGAUACCCGAGUAGUCC
Molecule: ribosomal RNA, 270 nt
Filed under: uncultured archaeon
Lineage: Archaea
Description: partial 16S ribosomal RNA
Rfam family: Archaeal small subunit ribosomal RNA
Source: RNAcentral